UCAGUAAGUACGUCAGGUCGUUCAUGGUGGGGCGAGCCUCUAGCAGACGAUGUUGAAUUAAACGAGGUUUCGUAAUGAUUGUUUUAGACAUUAACUAAAAAUGCCAAAUCUGAGGACUGAGGUUUUAAAAUCUUUCAAAACACUUCACCAGGCCAGAAAACGUGUUUUCCAAGGUGAUGAGGUUGCCCUUAAUGCUGCCCGCGCAAAAAUCAAUGAGGAGUACCGAAAAAACAAACACGUGACAGAUGUGUCAGCUGUGCAAGAGUUAGUCAAACUUGCACAUGACGUGGCCAAGGAGCUGAGAGCAUCAGUCGUUCAAGCCCGCAAAAUCAAGGACGACAUGUUUGGUACAAAACACAGCAAUUUUUGUGAAUUUAUAUUAUGAAGGGUAGUCACAAAGUUUUAAUUACCAUCUCAGAUGCUAGUCCUUCUUUGCAUAUUAGAACUAAGAAUUACUGAAGAAACUUACAAGUUGGACAACAUACCUGGGAUGCCUUUUCAGAGAUGUAAAUCUUAGUACUGCAGACAGAGUUGUUAAUGAUAUUAGUGACUGCAAUGUACCUGAGUUGUUUUAAAAUGUAAUUGUGUUUUGAAAUAUUAACACUGUAUAUGAGUUGUUUUUGUGGUACCAGAACAGCAGUAAUUACAGGUUUGUGACAGUUUUGUGGUGAGUAAUUAAUGUUGAAGCUGGUAUCACUUGUAUUGGACAGAUUGACUCUGACUGAUGUAUCAUUUACAUAUAUGUAAAUAAAGUGCUUUCAUGUUACCAUAGAAAGGUUCACUUUGAGAAUUAA
This is an RNA transcript of Schistocerca piceifrons (Central American locust), 794 nucleotides long. It is a transcript of the gene named complex III assembly factor LYRM7, with no coding region annotated. The record is from RefSeq and is a predicted model, not a curated record. The transcript is spliced from 5 exons. Lineage: Eukaryota; Metazoa; Arthropoda; Insecta; Orthoptera; Acrididae.